CUGCAAAUAUUCUUGCUGUUCUAAUUUUGUAAUAGUCAAGACAGGCUAAAUAUUCGCUAUAUUUAGAACCAUGUGUGUGUCCCCAGACCUAGUUCUUUCCCUAGCUUUGGUUUUUUUUUUUUUUUUUUUNNNN
This 133-nucleotide small nucleolar RNA is filed under the name Cebus imitator (Panamanian white-faced capuchin). RNAcentral's name for it is "Small nucleolar RNA SNORA72 (ENSCCAG00000011839.1)". It matches the Rfam family "Small nucleolar RNA SNORA72". Rfam says of the family: U72 is a member of the H/ACA class of snoRNAs. The snoRNA gene is located in intron 4 of the ribosomal L30 protein gene in human, mouse and chicken. Lineage: Eukaryota; Metazoa; Chordata; Mammalia; Primates; Cebidae. The record is from Rfam by way of RNAcentral.